RNAcentral lists this ribosomal RNA (253 nucleotides) under uncultured bacterium. RNAcentral describes it as "partial 16S ribosomal RNA". It matches the Rfam family "Bacterial small subunit ribosomal RNA", at positions 524 to 776 of the family's 1533-position model. The record is from RNAcentral.
GACGAACCGUGCGAACGUUGUUCGGAAUCACUGGGCUUAAAGGGCGCGUAGGCGGUCGAUCAAGUCCGGGGUGAAAUCCUGCAGCUUAACUGUAGAAGUGCCUUGGAUACUGAUCGGCUCGAGGGAGGUAGGGGUCUGUGGAACUUCUGGUGGAGCGGUGAAAUGCGUAGAUAUUGGGAGGAACACCAGUGGCGAAGGCGGCUCACUGGACCGGUUCUGACGCUGAGGCGCGAAAGCGUGGGGAGCAAACGGG